This 251-nucleotide long non-coding RNA is filed under the name Elaeis guineensis (African oil palm). RNAcentral describes it as "long non-coding RNA (EGUI_LNC016898)". The record is from RNAcentral. Lineage: Eukaryota; Viridiplantae; Streptophyta; Magnoliopsida; Arecales; Arecaceae.
UUUGUUCAUUCUUAGCUUGUAAUUACUUACCACUUACUUGAAUGGUGCUAUUCAACUGAAUCUUCUCAAAGCCUACAAGCCUUGAUCUUAUGGACCAGCUAUAUCACAUAUUCUUUAUGCUGAUGAUUGUCUUUUAGUAGCCCGAGCUACUAUUUGCAAUACUAUUGUCUUAAAAUCUAUUAUAGAUACUUAUUGUACUGUCACGAGGCAAGUAAUUAAUUACUCUAAGUCACAUAUUAUUAUUAGCCCCA